GAGAAACAGAGGAGCCCAGGAUGACUCUAAGAUUCUGCCUUGAAUAAUUUGACUGAAUGAACCUUGAGUGUAUUUACCAAAGUAGGUGAAACAGGAGGAAGACAAACGACUGAGUUGAAGUAACUGUGAAACUCCGGUGACAAUUUUCAGUAAAAUUUCUGAAGAAGUACUUGAAUUUUUUUUCUUGGAUAGCAGCCCUACUACACACCAGAGACUUGAAGCUACAAACCUUUGUUUUCCUCAGGUUCUUUCAAGCAUUAACAUUCUGAUGCCAUAUUCUUAUGACAAAGACUAAUAAGAAGGGAAAAUGGCACACCCUGGAUCUAUUUUAGCGAUAAAGAUAAGAGUGGGAAAUGGUAAAAAUCUCCCUUGUUCUCAUUAUGACAGCGCUAAAACCGCCAUCAAUUAUAAUCACUCACCACAUCCCUAACGGGGGACUUCAUUGGCAACAUCUCUUCUACACAAACUAGGUCUCCUGUAAUCCGGUAUGUAUGUGAAAUAUAUAUGGAAAUAUAUUGAUAGUGCUUACACUGAUGGCAUUCUCUUCACUUAUAAAAGCAUGCGCUGAAAAAGAAGUGAUGUCAGCACAUAGCAGCGGGGUUUCCAUAAGACAGUUAUUUCUGUUUUAUUGCCUAUCAUCUUAUAGGCAAAAUAGAAAACGUUCCAAGCAUUUAUCUUGACCUAUAUUUCACAGUCAGAGCUAUCUACGCAGGAGUUUUGUUUUGCCCAAUGUGCAAAAAUAUUAAUACACUUCCUUCCUACCCUUUGCCUAUGGCCUCAUGUUCGUUUCUGUUCAAUUUGACUUGACUCAUUUCUGUCCUCCUUUCUUUAGCUUCUCCCCGCUUUCCUCCCUCCCUCACUCCUCUCUCUCUUCUUCCAGCAAAUUGCUGUUGGGUCUAUGAUGUUCUAGAUUUGGAAAGUCAGACACUUACAGUCAUGCUGGAGAAGAAAACGUGAACAUAUAAAAAAGUCCUGUGGCUCAAGAUGAUACGUUAUAUGAUGAAGAGGCAAGAAAACAGUAUACAGAAGGUGCAAUUAGCAUUCAGUGGCAAUAGAGAUCCCUACAGAACUGGUGUUUUUGAGGAUGGCUUCCUAAAAAACAUUUCCUUUAAUCUAUUGCUACAUAAUAACCACCCCAAAAUGUGGUGGCUUAAAAAAAGCAACAACUUUUUAUUUGUCUUCAUGGUAUCCUCUGGGCUGGGCUCGGCUGUCUUCUGCUUCACCUGGUGUCUGUGGGUUAUGGAAUGUGCAAAACGGCUUCUUUGCUCCAAUGCCUGGCACCUCAUCUUGAUGGACAGAACAGGUGGGAGCUGACUGGGUAUCUUUCUCCACGAGGUCUCCCCACUAGAGUAGCAGAACUUCUUUGCGUGGUGGCUGGAGGCUCCAAGAAAGAGCAUUUCAAGAAUGCCAUGGAAAACUUGCUAAUGUUCCAUUGGCCAAAGCGAGUCACUGAGGGAGGCAGUGAAUACUGGUGGCUAAUGAAUGCUUGGUUCACCAGAGGCCACCAAUCUAAACAAAGCAUUUGGAAGACCUGACUAUACACGGGGUGUGAGGAAAGAAGAGAAGUCACAUAUGGAGAAUUUGAGCUUGAAUGAUUAGAAAAAUCGAGGAAGGACCGUUCAUUAGAAGAGCAGAAGUUAUACGGAAGGACCAGUUUCAGACAUGGUAAGUUUGAGAAGAUGAAAAUGUCUGCUAGGCAGACAGAGAAAAUUUAUUGGAAUAAAGACAUUAGCUGAGGGCUGAAGUUCUAAACUCUGGAGUCAUAUGCAGAAAACAGGUAGUUAAAGCUGUGUGACUGGAUGGGUUCUGAGAAAGAUAGAAACUGGAUCAAUGAACUUUGAGCUAGGCUUAUAGUUAGAAGUUGGAAGGAGGAAGAGGAGCCAGAUUGGGAGAUAAAGAUACUGUAUAUUCCUCUCACAUUUUGUGACACUGUUAGAAUUUUUAUAUUUCUAGUUGAAUUCGACUCUCAUUUGUAUGCAUCUGAGAGUAAAAUUUAAUUGAGAAAUAAUUUAGCUUUAUUUUAGCGACUUUUACUGUGGAACACCUCCAGUGCCUUAGGUUGCUGACUUAAAAAUAUGCAUUUAUUAAUAAUAGCUAAUAUCUUUGGAACUUCCUCAUGGUUCUCAAGUAGGUGGAAUAAAUGUAUGAAAACUAAAGUUAAUGAUACAGCACGACAGAAUUAAGUUUUUAUUAAUUAAUUUUAUUAAUUAAGCUUUGUUAAUCUUUCCACCGUCCUGCUUUUGGAAAAUAACAAAUUGUAUAAAAGCUUCAUUUCGGUAAUGAAUUAAUUUUCUUCUUAUAAAAUGAACUUGAUAUUGAGGCUAGAUCAAUGGGCAGGAUUUUUAAAAUAUGGUACAGAAAUAUUUUCUCGGUAUCCACUGACAAAGUCAAGCCAAUUUUCAGAGGCUAUUAAGAGUUUUCUAAGAAUGCGUUGCACACAUAAUGAGAAGUGUUGGCUGAGGAACUGUGUUCAGAAACUCCCUGGGGAACUGUAAGCACUGUCUCCUCUCGCUGAGCCACCCAGGCAGGCCGUAGGCCGUCUAGACGGUGACCAAGCCGUCAGACCCAGACACUGUGGGCGGGCCUGGAGCCCCCUCGCUCUGCAGCCAGAGGGGCUGAGAUACGCCACAGAAACCAUUUGGAAUGUAUUCUUUUUACUCAGUCCUCUGCUUUUAGAGAAAAAUGUGGCGGCUAGGAGAAUUCGGUCAAGACUGAAAUUAAAUAUGUAUGCCUUGAAUUGUUCCAUGGUAUCACUGAUUUCCCCUUUCUCUCCCACUUUUAAAUCAUUUUGGAUUUAUUGUAUGGAAAACAACUGUACAUACUUGCUUAUCUGCAAGAAUAUAAUGAGAAUGAUAUAAAAUGUGGUUGUAACUUUAAUAUGUAUUGUGUAACAAUUUUAUUAUGUGUGUUAGUUGGUUCCCUCCCCUUUUUAAAAUGUUCAUGGUAAUAGAGAUGUGUGUUGUAUAGGCUGUGUCUUCCCUAAUGUGCUACACUGUGAUCUAAUAAGAAUAGGUAACAUUCACUGAGUUCCCGCUACGUCCUCGGCCACCUUGAUCCUCACAGCAGCCUGAUGAGUUCGGUGCUAUGAUUCUUAAUUUGCAGAAUAGAAAACUGAGACGUGGAGAGGUUCCUGCCCGAGGAAACACAGCUAGUAAGAGGCAGUGCAGGAUUCAAACAUGUAUCUCUGAAUUUACAUCUGGAGCUUUUAACUGCUUUCCAGGCGCCAGACAUUGUAUGAUCUUUCUCUUACUGUGUUGCAAUUCAUUUAUUUUGUACCUUUAAAAAUCUUGAACUGUGAAACUGAGGACAAAUUGGCCAAUGAAAAAAGGGCGCUUGUCUAUAAUCGUAUUUUCUUGCUGUUGGCUCACUAUUUCGUGAAGGGCCACAUCUGUAAUCAGGUUAGUAAUAAUAAAUACACAGUGCUUGCUAUAUGUCAGUAUUGUUUGAAGCAUAUUUUGUGUUUUAGCUCAUUUAAUCCUCAAAACAACCCUUUGAGAUAGGCAUUCUUUUACAGAUAAGAAAACUGAACACAGAGAGGUUAUGUAACGUGCCCAGGUCACACAGCUAUUAAGUGGCAAAGUCAGGGUUCAGACUCAGGGAAUCUAGCCUCAGAGUCCACAUAUUUAACCACUACAUGUACUGCUGCUCUAGUUUUAAUUUGUUUUCUUAAAAGCUACAUCUUUUUUACAUAAUAAUUUUGAUGGCAACAAAUUAAACAAUCAAAAUUAGUUUUGCCCAUACAAAGGCUGAGAUAUAUUUCAU
Equus caballus (horse) is the source of this 3762-nucleotide long non-coding RNA. Lineage: Eukaryota; Metazoa; Chordata; Mammalia; Perissodactyla; Equidae. The record is from Ensembl.